AGCCUGGUCACAGGGGGUGGGAGGGGCCGGACAGCAGAGCCGGUCCUUGGGCAAGCCUCAGAGGAUCCUGCCCGCGCCUGCCUGUCUGCUCGCCCCUGACCCUUGGGCGCUCUGCUUGCACCAGGGCCCAGGGGCAGGCACGGAGGCUCCUGCAUCCCACGUCCCUUCUAGCCCUUCUAGCCCGCGCUGCUCACGGUGACCAUCCACGAUGACCCUGGGGGUACGAGGCCAUCUGCAUCACAGCCAGCAGCCAGAACCAGCUCCUACAGCUCUCGGUUUGGCCACACGCCCUCGGGGGAGCCACCGAGUCCCCAGCACCCAUCACCCCGGGCCCAGAUUACUCAGUCUCGAAAUUCAGCGGCACAUCCAACGGGAAAGAAACCAAUAAAGGAACAAAACAUCCUAGAAGCACCGGCCGGAGUCCUGCCUUUAGGCGACCACGUUAAUGAAUAGCUGGGGCAACAUAACUGUUUUCAUCUUUAAGGUGCUUUUUUUUUUUUUUUCUCCUUUUUCCGCCCAACGGACAACCAAUUAAGGACGAAGCCGUCUGACAGUUCAAACAGCGCGGAUCAGGCCCUGACCUGGCUGGACGCGACGGAGGGGGCCGCCUCGCGGGCGCAGGAGCCGGGAGCUCCUCACGCGGACGGGCUGGAGCCUGAGCCGGGAGCCCCGACGCGGCCCCGACCCGCCGCACCAAGCGCCGCCCGAGCGCCCGGCUCCGCACAGCGUGUCGGGAAGUCCGAUGUUCCCAGUGAAGGCACUGGCCACCUGGAACACCCGACAGCAGGAAUCGACACGUUUGUGGCACCAGGCAUCAGAAAGGGUCUCCCUCAAAGGGCCUUAGGGAGUAGGUAUGGCUGGCACCCCAGGGCAGAGCAUUAAGGAGGAAAAGCAGAGCACAGAACAUCGUGUCUUAAGAAAGGGAGAGCAGGGUUAGCCUGCAGCCCAGGGCGUGAUCCUGGAGACCCUGGAUCGAGUCCCACGUCGGGCUCCCUGCAUGGAGCCUGCUUCUCCGUCUGCCUGUGUCUCUCUCUGUCUCUAUAAAUGAAUAAAUAAAAUUCUUUAAAAAAAAAUUUGCCUGCCUUCUCAUGAAAUGCAGGAAGGCGAACAAGUAAUGUGGGUCAUCACAGGGGGCACGUGGGUGGCUUAGUUGGUGACAGCUGCCUUCAGCUCAGGUCAUGAUCCCAGGGUCCUGGGAUGGAGCCCCCGGGUCAGGCUCCCUGCUCAGUGGAGUCUGCUGCUCCCUCGGUCCCUCCCCCUGCUCAUGCUCUCACUCAGAUAAUCUUUUUUGGAAGGGACGCUCAGCGGUUGGGCACCUGCCUUCCGCCCAGGGCGUGACCCCGGGAUCUGGGAUCGAGUCCCGCAUUGGGCUCCCUGCAGAGAGCCUGCUUCUCCCUCUGCCUGUCUCU
Canis lupus familiaris (dog) is the source of this 1409-nucleotide RNA transcript. It is a transcript of the gene named protein transport protein sec31-like, with no coding region annotated. The record is from RefSeq and is a predicted model, not a curated record. NCBI's taxonomy places the organism in Eukaryota, Metazoa, Chordata, Mammalia, Carnivora, Canidae. The transcript is spliced from 4 exons.